Salvelinus sp. IW2-2015 is the source of this 170-nucleotide long non-coding RNA. RefSeq lists it as uncharacterized. The record is from RefSeq and is a predicted model, not a curated record. Lineage: Eukaryota; Metazoa; Chordata; Actinopteri; Salmoniformes; Salmonidae.
GCAGACCGCUCCAGAAGGUUGUGGAUUGGAUGAACAGUGCCCAUCAACACCAUUUAAUUAUACCAGAGUCUGUGCUGGAGUCAACAGCUAUCCACUACAACACCACCUGCACAUGGGGAAUAUGACAGAAGUUCUAUGCAAUUCAGCUUGGAACAGUAUGCUUGUUCACA